GAAGCCCCGGCACCCUUUGGGGUGCAUUUCCAGACUUGCAAUCU
This 44-nucleotide transfer RNA is filed under the name Goggia gemmula. Its description in RNAcentral is "partial tRNA-Cys". The record is from RNAcentral. Lineage: Eukaryota; Metazoa; Chordata; Lepidosauria; Squamata; Gekkonidae.